AUACGGAGGGUGCAAGCGUUACUCGGAAUCACUGGGCGUAAAGCGCGCGCAGGCGGCUAUUUAAGUUGGAUGUGAAAGCCUACGGCUCAACCGUAGAACUGCAUCCAAAACUAUUUAGCUAGAGUGUGGGAGAGGAAGAUGGAAUUAGUUGUGUAGGGGUAAAAUCCGUAGAGAUAACUAGGAAUACCAAAAGCGAAGGCAAUCUUCUGGAACACUACUGACGCUGAGGCGCGAAAGCGUGGGGAGCAAACGGGAUUAGAAACCCCGUAGUCC
Molecule: ribosomal RNA, 273 nt
Filed under: uncultured bacterium
Lineage: Bacteria
Description: partial 16S ribosomal RNA
Rfam family: Bacterial small subunit ribosomal RNA
Source: RNAcentral